Molecule: ribosomal RNA, 400 nt
Filed under: uncultured bacterium
Lineage: Bacteria
Description: bacterial SSU rRNA
Rfam family: Bacterial small subunit ribosomal RNA
Source: RNAcentral
UGGGGAAUUUUCCGCAAUGGGCGAAAGCCUGACGGAGCAAUACCGCGUGAGGGACGAAGGCUUUUGGGUCGUAAACCUCUUUUCUCAAGGAAGAUUUAGACGGUACUUGAGGAAUAAGCAUCGGCUAACUCCGUGCCAGCAGCCGCGGUAAUACGGAGGAUGCAAGCGUUAUCCGGAAUGAUUGGGCGUAAAGCGUCCGCAGGUGGUUUUGUAAGUCUGCUGUUAAAGCGUCAUGCUCAACAUGAUAAGGGCAGUGGAAACUAUAAGACUAGAGUAUGUUAGGGGUAGAGGGAAUUCCCAGUGUAGCGGUGAAAUGCGUAGAGAUUGGGAAGAACACCGGUGGCGAAAGCGCUCUGCUAGGACAAUACUGACACUGAGGGACGAAAGCUAGGGGAGCGAA